This is a long non-coding RNA of Leptonychotes weddellii (Weddell seal), 1380 nucleotides long. RefSeq lists it as uncharacterized. NCBI's taxonomy places the organism in Eukaryota, Metazoa, Chordata, Mammalia, Carnivora, Phocidae. The record is from RefSeq and is a predicted model, not a curated record.
UUUCCACAGUUUGGCUAUUGUGGACAUUGCCUGCAGCAGCCCUUUUCUGUCAGCAGGAGCCCAGGACUUACAGGAGGGGAAACAGUGUUGCACUGUUGUCUUCCCUCCAACUGUUGGCUCUUUUCUGUUCUCCAGCUCUUCCUCCUCCUCCUGCAGCAGAAGAAGAAGCCUCUGCCAACUACUUCAACCUCCCCCCGAGUGGUCCUCCAGCUGUGGUGAACAUUGCACUGCCACCACCCCCUGGUAUUGCCCCGCCCCCACCCCCAGGUUUUGGGCCACACAUGUUCCACCCAAUGGGACCACCCCCUCCUUUCAUGAGGGCUCCAGGACCAAUCCACUAUCCUUCUCAGGACCCUCAGAGGAUGGGCGCUCAUGCCGGCAAACACAGCAGUCCCUAGCACAUUAUCACCACUCCGGGGCUUUACAGAAGAAAGGGCGCUUAAAAAUCCCAGUACAUGAAUCUUGGAAUAAAUAUAUUUUUCCUUCCUUUGUAGUUUCCAUGGUAGCUGAAUGUGUUCAGAUGUGGGCAGUCAGAGAACGACAGCCGUGCUUCCCUACACGUAUUCCAAGGAUUGAUGGACCUCAAAUAAGCUGCCAUUAACACAUUUGGUUACUACUAUAACAUUACUAAUCAAACUUAAUGCCUGUUCUCCUUACUUCUGUGGCGAACAAGCAACUGGGUGAAUUGGAAUGUCUAACGGAGUUACCAUCCCAAUUGUAUGUUCAUUUUGUAUCUUUUUUGGGGGGAAAAAAUUGACCUGCAGUAAAAUCUUUUUGACCAUUUUUAUGUCCAUUGGGUAUUUUUCCUUUUUAUCAUCUGCAAAAAGAUUACUAGUACUAAUCAUUGUAGUGGCAUGAGUGUGAUUUAACACUUCAGAAGUCAACAUUAAAGAGACAAGUAGAAACCAGCACCCAGCACAGCCCAGAUCUUUUCUUACCUCUCCUUUCCUCAUUACUAAAGGAAUCUGGCGGAUAGUUUUACCUCUCUGCGCUACCAAAACAAGACAAAAACAAAAAUUGCUUUUUAUUCCCGUCAAUUGGAUGGAAACACAAAUGUUAUGGAGCUGCGUAUUAUUGAAAAAAUCUGGUGUCUGGGAUGAAAUUAUUUUAAAGAGCUUCCUGUAAAACACGUGAGCAAACUGAGCCGAAAGGCACUGGCGCGUGUUGGAAGACCUGUGACCUGCAGCUAGCUGGGACUGUCACCUCUAGCAUUCACCUUCGUGUGUCUUCAGCGUCACGUCUUCAGCCCCUGCUUCUGGCCAGGGCACUCUGUUUGGUUUUAGAAUGUUUGGAUAUAACUGAAUUGUAGAUGGUAAAAAUAAUUGGAUGUUGUGUUGUGUUUUUUGUUUUUAAAAAAUUAAAACGGGUCAAUUUUCCAAA